CCUACGGGAGGCAGCAGUAGGGAAUAUUGCACAAUGGGGGAAACCCUGAAGCAGCAACGCCGCGUGGAGGAUGAAGGUUUUCGGAUUGUAAACUACUUUUGGUAGAGAAGAUAAUGACGGUAUCUAACGAAUAAGCACCGGCCAACCCCGUGCCAGCAGCCGCGGUAAUACGGAGGGUGCAAGCGUUACUCGGAAUCAAUGGUCGAAAAGAGCGCGGAGGCGGGAUAGCAAGUCAGAUGUGAAAUCCUUUGGCUUAACCAUAGAACUGCAUUUGAAACUGUUAAUCUUGAGUAUGGGAGAGGGUGGUAGAAUUCCUGGUGUAGCGGUGAAAUGCGGAGAGAUCUAGAGGAAUAC
Molecule: ribosomal RNA, 354 nt
Filed under: uncultured bacterium
Lineage: Bacteria
Description: partial 16S ribosomal RNA
Rfam family: Bacterial small subunit ribosomal RNA
Source: RNAcentral